Molecule: ribosomal RNA, 499 nt
Filed under: uncultured Glomeromycotina
Lineage: Eukaryota; Fungi; Glomeromycota
Description: partial small subunit ribosomal RNA
Rfam family: Eukaryotic small subunit ribosomal RNA
Source: RNAcentral
CCAAUAGCGUAUAUUAAAGUUGCUGCAGUUAAAAAGCUCGUAGUUGAAUUUCGGGACCAAUAUGUCGGUCGUGCCUCGGUACGUACUGGCAUCGUUGGUUUCUCCCUUCUGACGAACCAUGAUGUCAUUUAUUUGGUGUCGUGGGGAAUCAGGACUGUUACUUUGAAAAAAUUAGAGUGUUUAAAGCAGGCUCACGCUUGAAUACAUUAGCAUGGAAUAAUGAAAUAGGACGUUUGAUUCUAUUUUGUUGGUUUCUAGGAUCGACGUAAUGAUUAAUAGGGAUAGUUGGGGGCAUUAGUACUCAAUUGUCAGAGGUGAAAUUCUUGGAUUUAUUGAAGACUAACUACUGCGAAAGCAUUUGCCAAGGAUGUUUUCAUUAAUCAAGAACGAAAGUUAGGGGAUCGAAGACGAUCAGAUACCGUCGUAGUCUUAACCAUAAACUAUGCCGACUAGGGAUCGGAUGAUGUUAAUUUUUUAAUGACUCAUUCGGCGCCUUACG